Molecule: ribosomal RNA, 460 nt
Filed under: uncultured bacterium
Lineage: Bacteria
Description: partial 16S ribosomal RNA
Rfam family: Bacterial small subunit ribosomal RNA
Source: RNAcentral
CCUACGGGCGGCAGCAGUGAGGAAUAUUGGUCAAUGGUCGCAAGCCUGAACCAGCCAAGCCGCGUGAGGGAAGACGGCACUAUGUGUUGUAAACUUCUUUUGUACGGGAGCAAACGCUGGUACGCGUACCUGUCUGAAUGUAUCUUAAGAAUAAGCAUCGGCUAACUCCGUGCCAGCAGCCGCGGUAAUACGGAGGAUUCGCGCGUUCUCCGGGUUUAUUGGGUUUAAAGGGUGCGUAGGCGGUCGGAUAAGGCAGCGGUGAAAGCCCGGGGCUCAAACUCGGAAUUGCCGUGGAAACUGGCCGGCGAGAGUGGGGGUGAGGUAGGCGGAAUGCGUGGUGUAGCGGUGAAAUGCUUAGAUAUCACACAGAACACCGAUUGCGAAGGCAGCUUACCGAGCUGCCACUGACGUUGAGGCACGAAAGCGUGGGUAGCAAACAGGAUUAGAUACCCUAGUAGUC